GACGAACGCUGGCGGCGUGCUUAAUACAUGCAAGUUGAGCGGAGCUUUGAGGAAGCUUGCUUUCUCAAAGUCGAGCAGCGGACGGGUGAGUAACGCGUGGGUAACCUGCCCUUUAGCCUGGGAUAACAGUUCGAAAGGACUGCUAACACCGGAUAAGCUCCCGGCCUGGCAUCAGGCAGAGAGAAAAGUUUACACUAAAAGGAUAAGGACCCGCGUCCCAUUAGCUAGUUGGUGAGGUAAUGGUCCACCAAGGCGACGAUGGGUAGCCGACCUGAGAGGGUGACCGGCCACACUGGGACUGAGACACGGCCCAGACUCCUACGGGAGGCAG
RNAcentral lists this ribosomal RNA (331 nucleotides) under uncultured Bacillota bacterium. RNAcentral describes it as "bacterial SSU rRNA". It matches the Rfam family "Bacterial small subunit ribosomal RNA", at positions 28 to 351 of the family's 1533-position model. Lineage: Bacteria; Bacillati; Bacillota. The record is from RNAcentral.